RNAcentral lists this ribosomal RNA (426 nucleotides) under uncultured bacterium. RNAcentral's name for it is "bacterial SSU rRNA". It matches the Rfam family "Bacterial small subunit ribosomal RNA", at positions 45 to 520 of the family's 1533-position model. The record is from RNAcentral.
GGCUAACCAUGCAGUCGAGCGAGACCUUCGGGUCUAGCGGCGGACGGGUGAGUAACGCGUGGGAACGUGCCCUUCUCUACGGAAUAGCCCCGGGAAACUGGGAGUAAUACCGUAUACCCCCUUUGGGGGAAAGAUUUAUCGGAGAAGGAUCGGCCCGCGUUGGAUUAGGUAGUUGGUGGGGUAAUGGCCCACCAAGCCGACGAUCCAUAGCUGGUUUGAGAGGAUGAUCAGCCACACUGGGACUGAGACACGGCCCAGACUCCUACGGGAGGCAGCAGUGGGGAAUCUUAGACAAUGGGGGCAACCCUGAUCUAGCCAUGCCGCGUGAGUGAUGAAGGCCUUAGGGUUGUAAAGCUCUUUCAGCUGGGAAGAUAAUGACGGUACCAGCAAAAGAAGCCCCGGCUAACUCCGUGCCAGCACCCCCGG